Molecule: long non-coding RNA, 528 nt
Filed under: Jatropha curcas
Lineage: Eukaryota; Viridiplantae; Streptophyta; Magnoliopsida; Malpighiales; Euphorbiaceae
Description: long non-coding RNA (JCUR_LNC000517)
Source: RNAcentral
AAAAAAUGGAGAGAGAGAAUUAUCUAGUUUUAGGAAAGGUUUCCUAAAACUAGAGGAGAGAAAAAUAGUGAUGAAAUUAUUAUGGAGGGUUUUUUGGAAAACACUUGGAGUGCCACUAUUUUUGUAUUGCUCUCUUUGUAUACCUACUAUUUUUAAUAGUGGAGGAAUUAUUUAUUCGGAAUUUAUCUUGUGAACGUAGCUCUAAACAGUUAAAGGUAAACUACGUAAAUUUCUGCGUGUCUCAUUUCUAUUUUUUCGCUUUUCUUUUAAUUCUUUGUGUGAGCGCCCAACAAGCAGUAUCACAAGAGGCCCAACGGCACUUACUAAUUGAUUUUCCUUCUCGUUCAGAAAACAGACUGACUUGCAAGAAUCUUGCAGACCAAAUUUGCAUUUCAUUGAAUAAUAUGUUGUCUAUAGAAAAGGUAAGGGAUAUAGAAGUCGAAAUCUCUGCAGAAAUUUAUGUUGAAUAAAAACGAAAAGGGAUCAAAUUUUACUGUUUGUACAUUGAUCAGUUCCGUAUGAGUUGAG